GACCAUGUGGUGUUCGGGUGUGCACCUGGGAAUGCUUGCCUACUCGAAGUCCAACUCCGAUUAUGGCUAGGACCAUGCCCAGAGCGGGUGAAAGGCCCGUUCGGGUAGGUUGCUGUUAUUUGAAGCAUUCCUCAGCCGUGCAUGCUCUCGAGUCGGAUUGCUUGAGAAUGCAGUCCAAAGAGGGUGGUAAACUCCAUCCAAGGCUAAAUACUGGCACGAGUCCGAUAGUAGACAAGUACCGUGAGGGAAAGUUGAAAAGUACUCUGAAGAGAGAGUAAAUAGCACGUGAAGCCGCUUGCAGGGAAGCUGGUGGAGUCAAGCUUCAUGUGCGGAGAAUUGUCAUGAGGACCAUCGUUGUUGUCUGGGACGUGAUACUGAUGAGCCUUGAAAUGGUUUGAUGCAUCUCGGUGCAUUCCAAGUCUUUCUGGGUAGAAUGUUUGGAUCGGUAUCUAUCUCCCUGGUCCU
RNAcentral lists this ribosomal RNA (465 nucleotides) under Dactylogyrus sp. 1Mash. RNAcentral's name for it is "eukaryotic LSU rRNA". It matches the Rfam family "Eukaryotic large subunit ribosomal RNA", at positions 139 to 586 of the family's 3401-position model. RNAcentral also lists the same sequence under 1 other name. The record is from RNAcentral. Lineage: Eukaryota; Metazoa; Platyhelminthes; Monogenea; Dactylogyridea; Dactylogyridae.